UGAUUAUGGCUCAGAACGAACGCUGGCGGCAGGCCUAACACAUGCAAGUCGAACGCCCCGCAAGGGGAGUGGCAGACGGGUGAGUAACGCGUGGGAAUCUACCUUGUGGUACGGAACAACCAAGGGAAACUUUGGCUAAUACCGUAUGAGCCCUUCGGGGGAAAGAUUUAUCGCCAUAAGAUGAGCCCGCGUAGGAUUAGCUAGUUGGUGAGGUAAUGGCUCACCAAGGCGACGAUCCUUAGCUGGUCUGAGAGGAUGACCAGCCACACUGGGACUGAGACACGGCCCAGACUCCUACGGGAGGCAGCAGUGGGGAAUAUUGGACAAUGGGCGCAAGCCUGAUCCAGCCAUGCCGCGUGUGUGAUGAAGGCCUUAGGGUUGUAAAGCACUUUCGCCGAUGAAGAUAAUGACUGUAGUCGGAGAAGAAGCCCCGGCUAACUUCGUGCCAGCAGCCGCGGUAAUACGAAGGGGGCUAGCGUUGUUCGGAAUUACUGGGCGUAAAGCGUACGUAGGCGGAUCGUUAAGUUAGGGGUGAAAUCCCGAGGCUCAACCUCGGAACUGCCUCUGAUACUGGCGAUCUUGAGUCCGGGAGAGGUGAGUGGAACUCCUAGUGUAGAGGUGAAAUUCGUAGAUAUUAGGAAGAACACCAGUGGCGAAGGCGGCUCACUG
RNAcentral lists this ribosomal RNA (669 nucleotides) under uncultured Kaistia sp. Its description in RNAcentral is "bacterial SSU rRNA". It matches the Rfam family "Bacterial small subunit ribosomal RNA", at positions 14 to 731 of the family's 1533-position model. Lineage: Bacteria; Pseudomonadati; Pseudomonadota; Alphaproteobacteria; Hyphomicrobiales; Kaistiaceae. The record is from RNAcentral.